CGGGGAUUGGCGCAGUUGGCUAGCGCGCGCGGUUUGGGACCGCGAGGUCGUAGGUUCGAGUCCUAUAUCCCCGACCA
This 77-nucleotide transfer RNA is filed under the name Candidatus Saccharimonadota bacterium. RNAcentral's name for it is "tRNA-Pro". It matches the Rfam family "tRNA". Rfam says of the family: Transfer RNA (tRNA) molecules are approximately 80 nucleotides in length. Their secondary structure includes four short double-helical elements and three loops (D, anti-codon, and T loops). Lineage: Bacteria; Candidatus Saccharimonadota. The record is from RNAcentral.